CGAUUUCUACUUGCUUCGGGUUAAUGAAAUGUACAUGGGUAUCGAUCGCUCCAGCGGUUACAAUUAAGCCUUCUCCAGCAAUGAUUUCGGUUGCAGUACCAAUGAUAAUAUCGAUGUUAUCGGUAAUGAGAGGGUUUCCACUUUUACCAAUACCAAAUAUUUUACCAUCUCGAAUUGCGAGAUCCGCUUUGCAAAUGCCUGUGUAAUCUAAAAUAAUGACAUUGGUUAUGACGGUGUCUGCUACACCUUCUUUACGGGUUGCAAGAGGGUGCUGACCCAUGCCAUCUCG
RNAcentral lists this small RNA (289 nucleotides) under Paenibacillus antarcticus. RNAcentral's name for it is "5' ureB small RNA". It matches the Rfam family "5' ureB small RNA". The record is from Rfam by way of RNAcentral. Lineage: Bacteria; Bacillati; Bacillota; Bacilli; Caryophanales; Paenibacillaceae.